GCAAAUACACGAGACCCACCCCCCUGACCUUAUCUUUCCGCAGACCCCCACCCCAAAUGACCCUCGAUCCUUCUUCUUCAUGAGGGCUUAACAAAAACCCUAAGCAAGAACUCCAUCUCCAAAGCAGCCUGAACGCCAAACGACCAGACCCCCAAGGUCUUCUUCUCGCUUACGCGCAAUAGCCAAGAACACAGCAACUUAACGUUACCAUCGCACACCCCCGUCGACGACCACCCUUCAGCUCACCAUCGUCACUGUACCUACUCGCAACCUCCCAGCGAUGCACCUCAGCCCUAGAAGUCAGUUGCCGAGCUCCACCCUAAUUCCGCCGUAACACAAUAACAACCCCGACCCUCACGUCGUUCUUUCUUCUCCACAUCCCAACCAGACCUGAACGACUCCCAUCAGCUGAACCCAAUGGCCAGUCUAGUGCUGCUGCUUCAUCUCCUCACCUCGUAAACGACCACCCAACAAUCACCAGGUCGUUGUUGUCCACAAAGUUUCUAGCGCGUCCCGAGUUUUUCGAUUAAUUAUCGACGAUCAAAGUUACUGGUUUUUGGUCGAAGCCGUUUGAGGUUUGUUGUGUCGAAGUCUCCGUUGCUGGCUCUAUCGUUGGGCUGGAGUUUCAAAGCAGUCCAAGCGUGCGGGUUUCGAAUUCAAUAUUAAGCUUGAUUGAAGGUACUUUGUUCUGAAUUUGACGAGGUUUCCGGUUCGUGGUUUCGAUUUUGCUUGCGAUUCUUGCUCGACUUUACUGUUGUUCUUUCCCUUGAAUUUGGAAGUUGAUAUCUGAAUCAGUUGGCCUAUUUUCUAACUUCAGAACUUGUUUUGGUCCUUAUUUGCUGUUAAGGUACGUUUUCUUCCUAGAUCCGGUGUAAUCAAUGUUUUAAUAUAAAUUGUAUCAUGAAUCUUUAGUGUUUUUAUGUGCCAUAUUGCUAAUAUUAUUAAUAUUUCUUCAUUCGUUUUUAUUUGAGCAUUGUAGCUGUAACCAUGAUAUUUGGAGUUGAGAUCAAAAUGUGUUUGUGUUUAUAUUGUGCUUAGUAUAAACUUUGGAAAAGCAAAAAUAGCAAUUGCUAGUUUGGACAAUUUGUUGACGUGUCAGUUGAUUUAAGUAUCUAUUAUUGUAUAUCUUUUAUAUAUGCACCCUUAAGAUCACUGUUCUUUUUGAUUUGAUCAUUUUACGCAUUGGUUUUGUUGAUUCAUUGUUUUUUUGUCCGAAUUCUCCAGUAUUAAAUUUUCAGCCAUUAUAUGUUCAUCUGCAUUUUGUUGUUAGCAUGGUUUCAACGACCUUUGGCAUGUGUAUUGGCUUGAACAAGGAAUUUCCAUAUUCGGAUCUGUGGCAUCUUAGGGUGCACAGUUUCAUAUUUCUAGAUUCAUAAUUGAAUGUAAAAAUUAAUACUUGAUAUAAUCAUAUGGAAGUUCAGUUAGUGCAAUAAAAGUGAGGUAAAGUACUUGAGGUAAUAUAAUGUCAUGUGGAUUUAGAGCAGUAGAUAUAACUUAUGAACACCUAGUUUGCUUUGGGCGCGAUUAAUAAAUCAUCGUGACCAUGGGUAAGGUUCCUGUGACAUAGUUACGAUACCUAAUUCUCAAAUCGGGUGUGCAUUUCAUAUGACCCGGUCCUAAUUUCCAACAAAGUUAAAUAGAACGUGCCGUGAAUCACGGGUGCAUUUCAUGUAGCGUGGCUUGUGAUAUAUUUUAAAUAACCUUGAAUUAAUUUUUUAAAUAAAUAAAAGCGGCUAAAAGGUUAAAAAGGGCACAAUAGGUUCUAAACAUGUGUUAAAAUCAGAUAAUAGGCCAAUAAUAAUAGUUGAGCGACCGUGCUAGAACCACGAAACUCGGGAAUGCCUAACACCUUCUCCCGGGUUAACAGAAUUCCUUACCUGGAUUUUUGGUUCGCGGACUGUUAAACAGAGUUAAGUUUUUCCUUGAUUCGGGAUUCAACCGGUGACUUCGGACACCAUAAAUUUCCCAAGUGGCGACUCUGAAUCUUUUAAUAAUAAUCCCGUUUCGAUUGUCCUUUAAUUGAAAAAACUCCUUUACGUCCUUCUGGGUAUAGUGAAAAAGAAGGUGUGACAACUCUGGCGACUCUACUGGGGAACGAACCCAGAAUCUCUGGUUCAGGUUCAAGAAUUCGAGCUUAGAAUAAUUGUUAUAGUUGGCUUUAUCCAUUAUCUGAUUCAGUUACAUGAUUUGGGCCUUAUGUGCUAAUUGAUCGCUUUUACCGAUUUGAUAUUCCGUGAACUGUAUAUAAACUGCUGUGAAAUCCCUCUUCUCUAUGAGUCUUCUAAAUCAUGAAGAAGUGUGCACUUCGUGUGACUUCUUUUCUGUUAGAGUCAUAUUCCAAAUUUAGAACGAGGUUCGGACAAGUUGCAAAGUCGGUGAAACUUUUGUAUUCCCGGUAUGCUGCCCCUCCCUCGGCUCGAGUUGUCCGCUCGGGUAAGCCAGGUCUAGAACAAUAAACUCAGGUCUUGAACCUAGAAUAACUUAGCCUUAUGCCGGAUCCCUAGUAGGAACGCUUGUUUGCAUCAUGUGCACUUGACUUAGGGGACUCAACACAGGGGUUGGGUCCGUCUAGGACAGGUAUACCCCAAAAAAUAAAAGACCAUUCUGAUGCAUCUUAUGUGCUACAUGUUGCAUUUAUUCAAGGGUAAAAGGGUCAUUUGGCGAACCAAUAAUAGCUGAGGGUAAAUGAAGAAAUGAAGAAAAAAACAAUGAAAAAAGAAAGUAAAAUAAAAAAGAAGAGUUUACAUGUUUCAUCUUUUUUCAAAAAAAAAAAGAAGAAAACAAAAAUAUUUUCUCUAAAUUAGUUGUUAUUUUAUUUCUCGCCCGUAUUUAAUUUGCCCGAACUACGCGAACAUGAUUCUCGUCUCUCGGGGAGGGAUACGUAGGCAACCCACAUAGGGUCCGGUCUUCCUAGUAAAUCUUAGGUUCUUGGCUUUGCAGGUUCUUACCCAAAUUUUGCACUUCUAACCACUUUUUUGCCAAAUAAGUCAUUUUGCAAAAAUAGCCUCAAUCAUGUCUUGCAUGUGUCUAGUAGGGAAUGUUAUUGUCUCACAUAGUGUUGGUUUAAGUUUUCUCAUAUAGGUGUGGAUCCACUUACCGGAGUUUGAGCAUGACAGAUACCCCAGGACCACCGCAUUCAGGAGUUGCUUAAGGAGA
This 3156-nucleotide long non-coding RNA is filed under the name Nicotiana tabacum (common tobacco). RNAcentral describes it as "long non-coding RNA (NTAB_LNC003813)". The record is from RNAcentral. Lineage: Eukaryota; Viridiplantae; Streptophyta; Magnoliopsida; Solanales; Solanaceae.